RNAcentral lists this ribosomal RNA (492 nucleotides) under uncultured bacterium. RNAcentral's name for it is "partial 16S ribosomal RNA". It matches the Rfam family "Bacterial small subunit ribosomal RNA", at positions 29 to 507 of the family's 1533-position model. The record is from RNAcentral.
AGUGAACGCUGGCGGUAGGCCUAACACAUGCAAGUCGAACGGCAGCACAGUAAGAGCUUGCUCUUACGGGUGGCGAGUGGCGGACGGGUGAGGAAUACAUCGGAAUCUACUUUUUCGUGGGGGAUAACGUAGGGAAACUUACGCUAAUACCGCAUACGACCUACGGGUGAAAGCAGGGGAUCUUCGGACCUUGCGCGAUUGAAUGAGCCGAUGUCGGAUUAGCUAGUUGGCGGGGUAAAGGCCCACCAAGGCGACGAUCCGUAGCUGGUCUGAGAGGAUGAUCGGCCACACUGGAGCUGAGACACGGUCCAGACUCCUACGGGAGGCAGCAGUGGGGAAUAUUGGACAAUGGGCGCAAGCCUGAUCCAGCCACACCGCGUGGGUGAAGAAGGCCUUCGGGUUGUAAAGCCCUUUUGUUGGGAAAGAAAAGCAGCAGGUUAAUACCCCGCUGUUCUGACGGUACCCAAAGAAUAAGCACCGGCUAACUUCGUG